UCGGGAAUAUUGCGCAAUGGAGGAAACUCUGACGCAGUGACGCCGCGUAUAGGAAGAAGGUUUUCGGAUUGUAAACUAUUGUCGUUAGGGAAGAAAAAAUGACAGUACCUAAGGAGGAAGCUCCGGCUAACUACGUGCCAGCAGCCGCGGUAAUACGUAGGGAGCAAGCGUUAUCCGGAUUUAUUGGGUGUAAAGGGUGCGUAGACGGGCGAUCAAGUUAGUUGUGAAAUCCCUCGGCUCAACUGAGGAACUGCAACUAAACUGGUUGUCUUGAGUGCAGGAGAGGUAAGUGGAAUUCCUAGUGUAGCGGUGAAAUGCGUAGAUAUUAGGAGGAACACCAGUGGCGAAGGCGACUUACUGGACUGUAACUGACGUUGAGGCACGAAAGUGUGGGGAGCAACAGGAUUAGAUACCC
This 415-nucleotide ribosomal RNA is filed under the name uncultured bacterium. RNAcentral's name for it is "bacterial SSU rRNA". It matches the Rfam family "Bacterial small subunit ribosomal RNA", at positions 355 to 787 of the family's 1533-position model. The record is from RNAcentral.